GUAAAACUCUUGGUUUUGAUGAAAUCAGGGGAAAAAAAUUUAGAACAACUAGUUUUUUUGGGAGCCAAAGGGACGGAAAAUUAGGAAAAAAAAAAAUUUUUUUUUUAGUAAACUAAUUUUUUUUUUACGUAUUUCAAGCAACCAAACACCUCCUAAAGAAAAGAAAAGAAAAGAAUCUCUAUGUAACAGUUGCAGCCCAUAAGGAUAUAUUCCAAAUUAAUUAUAUGUUGUCGUGUGAGACGGUAAAAAAAAAAAAAGAAGCUAGUAAGCGACAAUAUAGAGGGAACGUUUAGUUCGAAGUUGGAAUCGGAAUCAGAAUCGGAAUCGAAAUAAGCUGAAAUGGGAAUCGGAAUGUCACGCCCCGAAUUAACACGUUUUCCGGGCACGCCGACAAAUCCGCCGUAUAUAAAGAAUUUUUCCUGUAUACGAAACGUAGCUGGAACUGUAAUACAUACAAUACUGCAACCAGUAGUAUAAAGCUGUAAAGAAACUAAACAGAUAGAAUAAAAUAAGUCUCAUAUACAUACAAGAAAACUCUAUAUAAAAGUACUCGCUCCAGGGAGUUAUACAUCAGUACGUACAUGAACUCAAAAAUAAUAAAAGUACAACUACCUGCAACAAGUGCUCCUCUAUCACAGCGACUCGUCUGGUAGGGCUCUAACUCGCGAUGCCCUUGUCACGAUCAGAAUCGGCAACAGCAGCAGCAGCCGAAGACGAUGGCUCUGCAAAACAGUGAUAACAACUGGGCGUGAGAACUACUGUAAAAACAAAUAGUUCUCAGUGGGUAUCACCCUCAACAUCAUCGGUCCACUUACUAAGUCUACAAAAAAAAACAAAGCUAGUAGGAAAAAGCUGGAAAGCAAUCUACAGCUACAUAUUGCUACAGUAGCAUGCUCUACACUAACCAAGUAAAAGUCACUCACUAUCUCACCCGGGUUGCCCAAACGGGCUGACCCUGCCUGUAUCUCACUACGCCGUACACCACCCCGGGGGUGGCCGACUCAAGAAUUAUCCAACAGAAGCUGCGACACUCAUCGCACUGAAACCUCAUUUCGGAAUGGCAUUCGCGGGUGCGAUCCACGAGUUACAAAUGUCUCUGUCAUUUCAUUCUGGCUCUCACAGGCUCAGGUCAAGUAAAUAAGAUCUAGCUGGACUAUCAACCACUAGUCACGUGCCCUCGCACAAUCUGAUAUCAAAACAAUUAAAUCCGGGUCCGCCGUCAACCACUACGACACCCACUAGUCCGGAACAGUGUAAACACUACUGUAAAAAUAGGCUCAGCAUCUUAGCACGAGCGUAACAGUAAACUGAACUACCUGGGGUACUCACCACAAGGAUACUGCGACAGUAUAAAAAUACAACGGCCCCUAAGGCUAAAUCAGAUAGUUUAACAUAUGACAGGUCCCGAACGCUAGUUUUUUCCUAUGUCAAAUUCAAGUCCAACAUGUAUAAUUAAUAAUAACUAAUAACAUGCUCCAAAUUCAGUUUAUAUGUCUAAAACAUGCAUACCCAUGGAUUUGAGCUAAACAAUAGUAACGUGCAACACCAACGAUACAUGUCGACUAAUAAAGCUAUAGGAGAAGGAAUCCGAUGAUAAACCCACCUCAAACGCAAAUCACAAUCCGGCGCGACAUCGAAAACGGCGGAAUCGAACCCUCGCCCGGCCUCCUCACGAUGCUACGACGAACACACGCUCGAACGGCACUGCGGCGCGACGUCGACGACACUCCACACCACCCGAGCUCCUCCUCUACGUAUAGCUCAAGAACUAGAGAGAGAGAGAGAGAGAGAGAGUAAAUAAAAAAAAUGUACACCUCAGUUAAACUAA
RNAcentral lists this long non-coding RNA (1828 nucleotides) under Ananas comosus (pineapple). RNAcentral describes it as "long non-coding RNA (ACOM_LNC008632)". The record is from RNAcentral. Lineage: Eukaryota; Viridiplantae; Streptophyta; Magnoliopsida; Poales; Bromeliaceae.